This 333-nucleotide ribosomal RNA is filed under the name uncultured bacterium. RNAcentral's name for it is "bacterial SSU rRNA". It matches the Rfam family "Bacterial small subunit ribosomal RNA", at positions 46 to 389 of the family's 1533-position model. The record is from RNAcentral.
GGCCGCGGGAAUUAGAUAAAGGCCUAACACAUGCAAGUCGAACGCCCCGCAAGGGGAGUGGCAGACGGGUGAGUAACGCGUGGGAACGUGCCCUUCGCUUCAGGAUAGCCCCGGGAAGCUGGGAGUAAUACUGGAUACGCCGUAUUGGGAAAGAUUUAUCGGCGAAGGAUCGGCCCGCGUUAGAUUAGGUAGUUGGCGGUGUAAUGGACCACCAAGCCUACGAUCUAUAGCUGGUCUGAGAGGAUGAUCAGCCACACUGGGACUGAGACACGGCCCAGACUCCUACGGGAGGCAGCAGUGGGGAAUCUUUAAAAGGGGGCGCAAGCCUGAUCC